This 863-nucleotide long non-coding RNA is filed under the name Calidris pugnax (ruff). Its description in RNAcentral is "lncRNA (ENSCPUG00000008524.1)". Lineage: Eukaryota; Metazoa; Chordata; Aves; Charadriiformes; Scolopacidae. The record is from RNAcentral.
UUCAGUAAUGAUGAUACUGAUAACUGACCACUGCUGCUUCCAUGAGUGUUCAUGGUCAUUUCAGGCAUGUUGUUGCACCCAUGUUGCUUUCUAUCCACAUAUAUAAUGUUUCUAGCUAAUGUGUAAGCAAAGAUCUAUUACUAAUAGUACUCAUUUUUCUGUUGUCAUAGCAUCAGUGUGAUCUCCUCAUUGAACGAGGCUCUGCAAAGAGAAAGCCACACAUCUUCAACUUUAAACCAAGAGAUAACUGAGAGAAAUAAAUGCUCCAAAUGGCAGAGUGUGUUCUGAUAAGCACUUGGGAGACCAGUCUUAGAAGGAGACUGGAACAGAGAUUAGACUGAGAAGAAUGGGAAAUAAUUGCUCAAGGCGUUGGUGUAUUUUCUGAAUGUACUCGUACGUCAUCAGAAUUAGAGGAAAAUUGCUGGAAUCGCAUGUGUUGCAGACGUCUGGCAGAAAUCACCAAGAGCUGUGGGGGUGUUACAUCUGUUCAUGGCUGAGGAUGGCCUCCAGAAGUACAUUUUUAUGUGCUUUCUCAAAGUCAUUCAGAGUGAUACCCGCUUCUUUAGACUCCUUUCAGAGGAUCCCAGGACCUGCUGCUUUAACUGGAGCCCUCAGCGAUGGUGGUUUUCUGCCACUCAGCAGAAACGUACCUAUUCUGACACUGAAUUCUGCUUGACAGAAAUUUCUCCCGAAGCUGAUAGGACUCAGAAGAGGUAACCUUCCGAGUGCUGCAAUGGCAAAGCAUUCCUGCCUUCCAUGACCAAAUCCAAGAACAACAAAAAGUGCCAAAAAAUGCUCUUGUAAGGUAUGCUUGAACCUUAGCAGGACUCUAAGAAACAUUCCCAGUAAAGAACAUAAUGGAU